UGCAGUCGAGCGAACUGAUUAGAAGCUUGCUUCUAUGACGUUAGCGGCGGACGGGUGAGUAACACGUGGGCAACCUGCCUGUAAGACUGGGAUAACUUCGGGAAACCGAAGCUAAUACCGGAUAGGAUCUUCUCCUUCAUGGGAGAUGAUUGAAAGAUGGUUUCGGCUAUCACUUACAGAUGGGCCCGCGGUGCAUUAGCUAGUUGGUGAGGUAACGGCUCACCAAGGCAACGAUGCAUAGCCGACCUGAGAGGGUGAUCGGCCACACUGGGACUGAGACACGGCCCAGACUCCUACGGGAGGCAGCAGUAGGGAAUCUUCCGCAAUGGACGAAAGUCUGACGGAGCAACGCCGCGUGAGUGAUGAAGGCUUUCGGGUCGUAAAACUCUGUUGUUAGGGAAGAACAAGUACGAGAGUAACUGCUUGUACCUUGACGGUACCUAACCAGAAAGCCACGGCUAACUACGUGCCAGCAGCCGCGGUAAUACGUAGGUGGCAAGCGUUAUCCGGAAUUAUUGGGCGUAAAGCGCGCGCAGGCGGUUUCUUAAGUCUGAUGUGAAAGCCCACGGCUCAACCGUGGAGGGUCAUUGGAAACUGGGGAACUUGAGUGCAGAAGAGAAAAGCGGAAUUCCACGUGUAGCGGUGAAAUGCGUAGAGAUGUGGAGGAACACCAGUGGCGAAGGCGGCUUUUUGGUCUGUAACUGACGCUGAGGCGCG
This 717-nucleotide ribosomal RNA is filed under the name Priestia aryabhattai. RNAcentral's name for it is "bacterial SSU rRNA". It matches the Rfam family "Bacterial small subunit ribosomal RNA", at positions 56 to 755 of the family's 1533-position model. Lineage: Bacteria; Bacillati; Bacillota; Bacilli; Caryophanales; Bacillaceae. The record is from RNAcentral.